RNAcentral lists this small RNA (560 nucleotides) under Pongo abelii (Sumatran orangutan). Its description in RNAcentral is "retained intron". Lineage: Eukaryota; Metazoa; Chordata; Mammalia; Primates; Hominidae. The record is from RNAcentral.
GAGUGUGUCCUGCCUGGUCCUCUGCCUGGUGGGGUGGGGGUGCCAGGUGUGUCCAAAGGAGCCCAGUCGGUAGUGAGGCAGCUAUGGGGCUAGAAGCACUGGUGCCCCUGGCCGUGACAGUGGCCAUCUUCCUGCUCCUGGUGGACCUGAUGCACCGGCGCCAACGCUGGACUGCACGCUACCCACCGGGCCCCCUGCCACUGCCCGGACUGGGCAACCUGCUGCACGUGGACUUCCAGAACACACCAUACUGCUUUGACCAGUUGCGGCGCCGCUUCGGGGACGUGUUCAGCCUGCAGCUGGCCUGGACGCCGGUGGUCGUGCUCAAUGGGCUGGCGGCCGUGCGCGAGGCGCUGGUGACCCGCGGCGAGGACACCGCCGACCGCCCGCCUGCACCCAUCUACCAGGUCCUGGGCUUCGGGCCGCGUUCCCAAGGCAAGCGGCGGUGGGGACAGAGACCGCGUUUCCGUGGGCCCCGGGUGAACAGUUACCGUAGCCUGAGCUGCGCCGACAGGGCGUGGGGUCCUGGGCGUGAAACAGAGAUAAAGGCCAGCGAGUGG